AUACGAGGGGUGCAAGCGUUAAUCGGAAUUACUGGGCGUAAAGCGUUCGUAGGCGGUUUGUUAAGCAAGAUGUGAAAGCCCUGGGCUCAACCUGGGAACUGCAUUUUGAACUGGCAAGCUAGAAUACUGUAGAGGGUGGUGGAAUUUCCAGUGUAGCGGUGAAAUGCGUAGAGAUUGGAAGGAACAUCAGUGGCGAAGGCGGCCACCUGGACAGAUAUUGACGCUGAGGGACGAAAGCGUGGGGAGCGAACAGGAUUAGAAACCCCGGUAGUCC
Molecule: ribosomal RNA, 274 nt
Filed under: uncultured bacterium
Lineage: Bacteria
Description: partial 16S ribosomal RNA
Rfam family: Bacterial small subunit ribosomal RNA
Source: RNAcentral